This 252-nucleotide ribosomal RNA is filed under the name uncultured bacterium. Its description in RNAcentral is "partial 16S ribosomal RNA". It matches the Rfam family "Bacterial small subunit ribosomal RNA", at positions 524 to 776 of the family's 1533-position model. The record is from RNAcentral.
UACGUAGGCAGCGAGCGUUGUUCGGAGUUACUGGGCGUAAAGGGUGCGUAGGCGGGUCUUUAAGUCAGGGGUGAAAUCCUGGAGCUCAACUCCAGAACUGCCUUUGAUACUGAGAGCUUGAGUCCGGGAGAGGUGAGUGGAACUGCGAGUGUAGAGGUGAAAUUCGUAGAUAUUCGCAAGAACACCAGUGGCGAAGGCGGCUCACUGGCCCGGUACUGACGCUGAGGUGCGAAAGCGUGGGGAGCAAACAGG